AGGAUGGUAUGCUGCUGGAAGAUACAGAUCAGAAGCAGUCAUCUUCUGUGGGCUGGAAAGUGUCAGAGUUGUUAUCUUUCACAAAUAUCAGAAAUGAGCAGCAAAAUUACCUUUCACUUCUGGAGCAAACACACGUCUCUCUCUUCCAUACCAUACAGUCAGCAGUAAGAUCUAAUGACUGGGAUGCUGCAGCACGUAGCAAAUGCGGCUUUCUUUGUAAGAAGUCUAUUAGUAGUAGUUAUUCACAAAUAGGUAUUGCGAAGGAAAAUGCUGAGUCAUUAAGAAUAGGAGUGAGAAUUGCAGACAGCUCCAUAUCUGAAGAUGUCAAACAGCUGUCUGAAUCAAAGCCAGAAGUAUCUGUUUCUGGAGGACACAAAAAAUUCUAUGCUAGUGACUCGCUGCGAAAACAUAUUCUCCCUUACGUGUUUUUGAUCAAAAAUUGCCUUUCUAUGCCACUUUCUUUGAUCCAAGACAAAUGUUUCAGUGGAGAGAUAUUAAGCAAAAUACAGUAUUUAAGGAAAGAGAAGAGGAUCACAGCAACAUCAGAGACUCCUGUUUCCAAAUUAGAUGCUUCUGAAGGUGCAUCAGUUUGAAGCUGAAGACUGUCAGAGCAUCCACUUCUUUCUGGCCCUCAAAAAGCAGACAAGUGUUCAAGCUAGUAUGAGUUGGUUCUUCUGUUUUAUCUGUUGAGAUGUUCCUCAUUGGCCAGCAGUGACAAAAUUGAUGCCUAGAUGGCCAAGGACACUUUAAUGUGGAAAAGGAUGAAACUAACUUUUUUGUUCAGUUCAAACAAGAGAUGCAAUCUCGGCAGCGUUAUUUUGAGCGUGUCUUCACUAAUCUGUCAGCAACUCACAACUACAAGAGCGUGCAGCUCCUAAGUGCUGACAUCUAGUCAUUUUUGCCUAGUGAAUGUGGCUGGCAACAUGGGUAACAAACAGUGAUGAUGAUAUGUGAAAUAUUUUUCCUCUUGACUUGGUAAUCUUUAAGAAUCCCUCUAUGCAUAUAAGUGGAAGCAGGACAAGACUUACGCAUGUUAGGUUUUGCUUAAAAGCAACAACAAAACCAAACAAUAUAGGCAGUGAUCAGUUGAUCAUUUGGGUCCUGGAACUCAGCUUAAAUUACAGCAUGCAGAUGUCAGUGUUCAUGCCUUGUUGCAGUGUACUCCUACUUAUUUUAGAGAAAAGGUUGUAUAACAUGUAUGUUAACAUAAUACAUACUUAUUGCCAGUGCCAGAAGUACCAUAUGUUGUCUUCCGUAACCUGAGGGAAUUGCAAUGGAAGCUGUAUAAAGGCAUUGUGAAGAGGAGGGAGUCUAGCCGAAUUUUUUGGAGAGAAGCAAAUUAUGGAACUUUUACAAUACCGGAUGGAACAGCUGUAAAGACAUACUACAACCUCCCUUUGAUUUUUAAAGAUUCAGUAACUUUGUCAGUUUAUCCUGCAUAUCCUGUUCUACAUCUUGAAUUUAAAAGGAAAUAAAUAACUGCAGCUCAGAAGAGGAAGCAAAUAAAACUGCAAGUGCCUUAGGCAAUUAAAAAAAUUAUCAUU
Molecule: long non-coding RNA, 1544 nt
Organism: Gallus gallus (chicken)
Lineage: Eukaryota; Metazoa; Chordata; Aves; Galliformes; Phasianidae
Source: Ensembl